RNAcentral lists this non-coding RNA (215 nucleotides) under Bacillota bacterium. Its description in RNAcentral is "Firmicutes bacterium T-box sequence". It matches the Rfam family "T-box leader". From Rfam's summary of the family: Uncharged tRNA acts as the effector for transcription antitermination of genes in the T-box leader family. T-boxes are found upstream of many aminoacyl-tRNA synthetase genes and some amino acid biosynthetic genes usually in Gram-positive bacteria. Lineage: Bacteria; Bacillati; Bacillota. The record is from RNAcentral.
AAAAAUGCGAUGAACAGGAAAAUCUGCACCUCACCCCUCCGUCAGAGAGAGCCGGUCGUCGGCUGCAAGCCGGCUCGGGAAGUGCCGCAGUGUUCGCCUGGGAGCUGCCGCGAGGAAAUGCGCGGACGGGUCGUCCUCCGUUAACGGGAAACGAGUGCGCAGGCUGUGCCUGCGAAGCCGGGUGGUACCACGGAAGUUCGCCUUUCGUCCCUGUA